RNAcentral lists this ribosomal RNA (245 nucleotides) under uncultured Desulfovibrio sp. RNAcentral describes it as "partial 16S ribosomal RNA". It matches the Rfam family "Bacterial small subunit ribosomal RNA", at positions 524 to 768 of the family's 1533-position model. The record is from RNAcentral. Lineage: Bacteria; Pseudomonadati; Thermodesulfobacteriota; Desulfovibrionia; Desulfovibrionales; Desulfovibrionaceae.
UACGGAGGGCGCGAGCGUUAAUCGGAAUCACUGGGCGUAAAGCGUGCGUAGGCUGUUUGAUAAGUCAGGCGUGAAAUCCCUCGGCUCAACCGGGGAACUGCGCUUGAUACUGUCGAACUCGAGUCCUGGAGAGGGUGGCGGAAUUCCUGGUGUAGGAGUGAAAUCCGUAGAUAUCAGGAGGAACACCGGUGGCGAAGGCGGCCACCUGGACAGGUACUGACGCUGAGGCACGAAAGCGUGGGGAG